CACCUGUUUUGGCUAACCAAAAGAAAUCUGAAGGGGAUUUUCGCUUAUACAAAAGAAUAAAAAAAGCAUGAAGCAAAAAUAGCAUUCAGCAUUUGUUUGCUGCAAGCUGUUUAUAGGGGCAUCACUCACCCCCAGCAGCAAGAGGGGAGACGCCAGGCUCCUUCUUGGGAACCACACAGCAUCUCAGCAUCUCAGCAUCAAGCCCCCACAGGGCUAUGAACUGUGUCUGUGAGCAUCUGUGCUUUAUCUUAAUUUGUUUUGUGCAUCUGUUAGCAAGAUGUGGUACCAGAAAAGGUACCAGAAAAGCCUAAAAGAGGUGAUUUUGGGGGUCUGGGAAUGCCCAGGAAUUUUUCUAUAUAAAUAAAUGGUAAUUGAUUUACACCAUUUUACUUAGGGGCGGUUUCCUAGGUAGUGAGAGAAACCUUUAAAUGGCAAGUUUAUUUUCUUCUCUGUUCUCCCUUUUCUGGAGUCUGAUGCCUUGCAAGGUUUUUGUAAUAUAAUUCAAAGAUAGGAAACAAAGAGAUUCUUUGAGCAUUAGAAGGGAUAGUCUAUUUUUAUAGCAUUUUUCAGACAAGGAAACUGAGCUGUAGGAUUCUUAUGAGUAAUAUGUCCACUAUGCAGGUAGGAAGUAGUGAAACCAAAACACUCUGUCUUCAGAGCUUACACUCCUAAUAAUCAUGCAGUCUACGCUACAUAAUGUAGUGUAUUAAGAUGGCUACGAAUUCUUUGACACCUUCCACCAACAGGUGGAUUCUAUGGCCCCUUCCAUAGAAUCUGGGUUGGCUCUGUGAUUAUCUAAUACAAUGUGGAGGAAGUGAUGUGCCAGUUUCCCAGCCCAGGUCUUAAGAGACUAGUUAGUAGCUUCUGUUUCCUAUUUGUAUAGAUGCUCAUUCUUUGAGCUCUGAGUCUGCAUAUAAGAAAUCAGACUACCCUGAUGGAUAGCUCAUUUGGAAGAACUCGAGAUGACACAGAGAGGGUGAGCAGCCCAGCUGAGUGCAAUUUUCCAGCCAUCCCCACCAAGGCCCCGGGCAUGUGAAUAAAGCCCUUUUAACCCUCCAGAGAAAGCUAGCCACCAGCUGAAUACCAGUGUGACCCCAGGCGGUUGCCAGAAGGACCGAAAUAAUCAUCUAUCAGAGCCCUGCUCAAAUUCCCAACUCAUGGAUUGCGAGCUGUUUUACACCACUAUGAUUGGGAAGGUUUGUUAGCACAGAAACUAGAACACAUGUAUCAUUUCAUGGGAAUCUCAUACUGCCAUCUGAAUAGGUAGCACUUUUCCAUUUUUUGGAAGAGAUCAUGGUGUAGUAAAGUAUCUUCCCCAACGUUCCACACUGCUAAAUGGUAAAGCUACAUAACAGCUGGGUUUCUGGACUUAGCCCACACUUGCCUGCCACUGGAUGUUGCCUCCAGGUGCUGCAGAGAAAGAACUCCAGCGUUGCCAUGGCAGCCAUGACUCCCCACCGGGGUCCAGGGCAACAUGGUACUCAAGAGAGCUCCAGCUAACCCUAGCUUCCUCUUUGCCUCACAUCCCAUCUUCAUAUCACUGCCAACCCUACCACCUAGACAAGCCCAGCUUCUCCUAUACUAGCUCUGUGAUCUUCAGCAAGUUACUGAACAUAAGCUGAGUGUAUGGAAAGUGUCAGCUGCCACCAUGACUCUGAUUGCAACCCAAAAUCCGUUUCAUAGUCAAAUAUCAUAAGGAAUAAGAACUCCGGCUUCUGGGCCUACCAUAGGCACUCAGAAUUCUCCAACCAAAUAUAAACAGUAGAUCCAACUAGUAGCCCUCUUGUUAAUCAACAUAUAUAAUUUGUGAUUCAUCUUUGCUGAUGUAUGUACAUUUACUGUGUUGCUUCAGAUGGACGCAUGAGACCCUCUGGUAUGUGUCCACCACAUUUUAUCUAUAUAUAAUGAAACUACUAUGUUUCAGGAUCUGUGUUAAAAUCUUUAUAUUGAUUUAAUUUAACCCUUUCAAGAACACCACGAAAAGUAUUUUUAAUGAAUUUACAUGCAAUUUUAUGAUUCCAUCACCUUAGAAACUGUCCUAGGUGCCAAAGUCAUCUGGCUUGAGAGGAGGAUGAUUCAAAGCUCUCCUCAGAUGCAGCUAUUUUAUAACAAGGAGUUGGGCACAGAGAAGCAAAGGACCAGAAAGAGGAAAGUGAGGAAAGCAUCAAAUUUUAAUUCAGUUUUCCCAUUUACUUCCUGAGUAAAUUUAUCAAGCAUCUCCUGUGCACCAGUGCAUUAUUCUGGGUCCUCCAAGAAGCAGGCAUCAAGACAGGAUUAAAUGUGCAAGAAAUUUAUUAGGGGGAACAUCUAUGGGGGAUAAUCGGAAGGGUGCCGGGAAAGGCUGAGAGAGCCAUCAGAUCAUGAUGCAGGUCUGACUCUGCAUGAAGGAAGGAAGCAAGGUUGGGUGGAUGCUUCCUAGAUAGCCAUCCAGCUUAAGAAAAGUUAGGCAAGGCCAUGGGGGUGUCUUGAAGCCAAGGGUUGCUCAUUGGAGGAGUCCUACAUCUCUUGGGAAUGGGCCUGUUUAAUCUCUGCCAUGCACAGCCAGCCAAUGUCUGGAAGCAGCCCAUGGGCAACAUGGCUUUGGUACAAACUCAACAAUAGUUUUCAGAGCCAAACAGGACUUUUUUUUAUCUACCAAAAAAGGGAAAAAGAGCUCUAAUGUGGAAGAGGGGAGACUUCAGCCCAGCCUGUUCCUAACCUAUUAAGCAUCCUCCAGGAGGCUUUCUGCCAACAAGGGUCUGGGCAUUCUCACCUAUACUCCCAAAUCUGGAGAGAUGCACAAGGAAUGAGAGAAUUUUUAACAUUUAUUCAACCGGAUGCAUUCCUGGCUGGUCUGUACUCCCCCACUCUCAUUUAUUAGUUAUUGAAGAAGAGACAUUCACCUUCAUAACCCACUUGUUUUUUGUUUUUGUUUUUGCUGUUUGAUCACAUCAGCUGCAAUGUGGGGAAUGGAUCAAAGAAAGGCAAAUUAGAAGCAAAGAGGCCACUUAGGUGUCCAGACUAAAGUGGUGGCAAUGGAGGUGGGGAGAAGAGAAUUGGUUGAAAAUAUAUUUUGCAGAUAUAAUCCACAGGAUUACUGGUGGAUUACACAUCCUUGACUUCAAAGAUUACACACCUGGACAGACUGGAGUAGAAUGUGUCAGAAGGCCAUCACAAUUUAGAAAUACUAAAUGCUAUUGUUCUUUAGCUUUUACUACAACCAUACUGUGAAGAGGCCAUCUUGAAGGAUGGAUCUAACACUACCCAAUCAUGUACAAUCUCGUUGUGAUUUCCAUAGAAAGACCCAUGACUGUCACUUGUGUUAGUUGAUACUGUUAGGUUAUUUUUUAAAUUUUCGUAUCCAAAUGAGCUCAUCUACUAAAAGCAAAUGAGAACUCAAAAUCAUUUUAUAAAACCAUCUGGAUAAUAAUGUUAGAGCUCAGCAAUUUAUUUUAUUUUAUUUUAUUUUAUUUUAUUUUAUUUUAUUUUUUCUCAUAAAUAACAAAUGCGUUCUUGAUUUAUUGUGUGGUGAUACUAUAACACAACCUUCACACUGACUGAAUAGGAUAGAGCUCAGCAAUUUUAAAUUAAGGAGAGAAGAUAUCCUAAAAUAGGAAAUUCACCUGGAGUUUGGAAAGAGGGUAUAAAAAGCACAUACCUAAUGUCACUGUGAACUUUUCAUGUCUAACAACUGAGAUACCCCACUGAGUGUCAUUUCACUGAGAUUCCAGAAAUCCAGAAUAACCUUAAGAAAUUGUCUUUGGUCUCCUUUCUGAGCACAACACCUCCUUACUUUAACCUAAAUGGAAGUGUAUUCUAUUAGAUUGAGAUCAAUCGGUAAAGCUAGCUACAGGUUUAUUGUUGGCAAAAGAAAGUCUGGGGGAAGUGUGCAAGAAUGUCCACUGCCUCCCCAUGCAUGCCAACCUUGAUGUCACGCCCUUCACGCCAGGGGUCACUAAGGGGCCUGCAUGCAAGGGUAUGCAAGUUUGUGCUAGAGAAAGGAGAGCGAGCACCAUGAGGGAGUUGAGGACCACCCACUCCACAGAGGAAAAGCAUGUCUAAUGCUUGGGGCAAUCUGCUGUGUGCGAUGUUGUCCUCUCUUCCCUCUUGCCUAUCAAUUCUUCAGUGAUGUCUACACUGCACGUAGAAGCAGUUUAAUGAAUUAAUUCAGUAAGGAUACAAAUAAGAACAGCUUUAUUUUCUUCUUUCCACUGCUUCCAGCAUGUUCUGAUGGAUCCUUUCUGCACAUUCUGAUGACAUCCCAGGCAGAAACUGUGGCUUUCUGAUUUCUUUGGUCUCAUGAAUAAUCUCCUUUCAGGUGUAAAAACUAAUUUUCAGAUACUAUAAAGUCCUGUCCAACAAAACAAAACUUGAGCCUCGUAUCUAAUGCCAAGCUCUGUCCCUCUCCUUUUUCCUGCCUCCACUAAUCACCCUUCCCUGAUCAGGUUUAUGUUCUACCAAAAUACAUAUGUUGAAACCCUAACCGCCCAUGAUGGGGUUAAUGCCCUUAUAAGAAGAGACAGGAAAGAGCUUGCUUCCUGUCUCUGGUAUGUGAGGACCCAGCAAGAAGACAGCCAUUUGCAGAGAGAGAGAGAUCUCACCAGAACUCAAGCAUGGUGGUACCCUGAUCUUGGACUUCCCAGCCUCCAGAACUGUGGGAAAUAAAUUUCUGUGAAGCCUCCCAGUCUAUGAUAUUCUGUUACAGUGGUGCACACUGACCAAAACAAUGGCUCAAGCUUGACCACCUUCUGUGGCAAAGAAAGGAAGCCUCCUAAACUCCAGCCUCAAAGAAUGGCUGCCAUGGUUCAGAGCUCAGCCAGCAUCCAGCCAGGAUCCAGGGUCUGCUGGAGGAGACCCCCUUUCUGUUGUUAUCAUGUCCUUCAGAUGAGUAGAGGGUGCGGAGUGAGGAAAAGGAGAAGAGGAAUCAUGCCUUGAUGCAUUGGGAACUGCCAGACAGGUCAAAUAGUGACAGUUCUCUGGGGAGAGACUCUUGGAAACCUCCAAACUUUUUCAGCCCCUUCGAGUGGAGAUCUUUUUUCUUUAUGCUUCAACAGACCCUCCACUCCAGUCCAGGAAGAGAAAGCCUUAGUGACUGCUUACAGGAAACAGCAGAUUCCCUGAAAAAAGUGCAGAACCUGAGAAUCCAGCAACGAAUCACAGUCCCAGCGACAGGAUGGGGGUCAAACCACACAGCAACAACUCUAUGACAGGCACAGUGCUCAGCGCUGGAAAUGAAAGACCUAAUUCCUGCCCUGAGGAGCUUAUCAUCUACAUCAAACUGUGGUCUCCUCCUCCAGCAAGACAGUGGGUUUCCUUCCAUAGGCUCUGGCCUGAUGCAUGCAGAAGUGAUGCUGACUCAGAGCAACUAUCAACUCUUGCUGAUGCACCUUUUUGAAAUGGUCGGGCCUCAUUCCCUGUUGCUAAGCUUGUGACAAAUUUCAUGCCUUAAAGGCAUGCAUCUUUGGACCACAAUCUACAGAAGUUCUGGAAACCCAAAUUUAGGAAGGGCUGCUCCGCUCGCAGUCAGCACUGUGAAUUAUAAGAGACACCCUGUCCGUGGAGACCUCAGAACAAAAGAAAUAAGGCUUUGUAAUCAACAGUAAACAAGGGAAUUAAACCAGCGCCAGGCCUGUGACUGUGGGGGUCAUGCCCUUGCGAGGCAAUAAAAAGGAAGACAAAAUAUAUAAAAACUGCUAUUUUUUACAAACUGGACUGCAGUCUUCAUCUGCCCUGCUGUAACAGCUAGAAGACCCCUAGUAGCCUGGAAUGAAUGUGGAGGCACCCAGGCACCUUUUGAAAAGACUUCAGUAUCCCCUCCAGAAUGUCCUGCUUUCCAGAUUCCCAGAUCCCUGUCAUCCUGGCGAGCACCAUACUCUGUGAGGAAACCAAGGUGCUGCCAGGAUCAUGUGUCAAAU
Molecule: RNA transcript, 5894 nt
Organism: Prionailurus viverrinus (fishing cat)
Lineage: Eukaryota; Metazoa; Chordata; Mammalia; Carnivora; Felidae
Gene: GPR65
Gene name: G protein-coupled receptor 65
Exons: 9
Source: RefSeq, a predicted model, not a curated record